RNAcentral lists this ribosomal RNA (254 nucleotides) under uncultured bacterium. Its description in RNAcentral is "partial 16S ribosomal RNA". It matches the Rfam family "Bacterial small subunit ribosomal RNA", at positions 524 to 776 of the family's 1533-position model. The record is from RNAcentral.
UACGGGGGGUGCGAGCGUUGUCCGGAAUCACUGGGCGUAAAGGGCGCGUAGGUGGUUUGAUAAGGGUGUGGUGAAAGCCCGGGGCUCAACCCCGGGUCUGCCGUGCCGACUGUCAAACUCGAGGGCUGUAGAGGCAGACGGAAUUCCGGGUGUAGCGGUGGAAUGCGUAGAGAUCCGGAAGAACACCAGUGGCGAAGGCGGCCCGCGUGGGCAGUGGCUGACGCUGAAGCGCGACAGCGUGGGGAGCAAACAGG